GACGAACGCUGGCGGCGUGCUUAACACAUGCAAGUCGAGCGGUAAGGCCCUUUCGGGGUACGACGAGCGGCGAACGGGUGGAGUAACACGUGGGUGACCUGCCCUCAGCUCUGGGAGUAAGCCCGGGAAACCGUAGGGUCGUAAUAACCGGAUAUGACUCCAUGACGCAUGUUGUGGGGUGGAAAGCCUUGUGCGGCUGAGGA
Molecule: ribosomal RNA, 203 nt
Filed under: uncultured bacterium
Lineage: Bacteria
Description: partial 16S ribosomal RNA
Rfam family: Bacterial small subunit ribosomal RNA
Source: RNAcentral